CGACUCUCGGCAACGGAUAUCUCG
This 24-nucleotide non-coding RNA is filed under the name Drosophila melanogaster (fruit fly). RNAcentral also lists the same sequence under 2 other names. The record is from RNAcentral. Lineage: Eukaryota; Metazoa; Arthropoda; Insecta; Diptera; Drosophilidae.